CUCCAGGCAUGUGAUCUGGAAGAAACAUGCUCUGCUUAAUGCUCCUAUAUAUGUGUAUUAUUUUCAUCUGUUCUUCACUUCAGAAAUCAUUUAUGCGAUUGCAGAAUUGUUUGUAACUUUUGUUUGGUACUUAAGGUUGUUAAAGAUCAAUGCAACGAAUGGAGGAACUUCAGCCACUGUUUAUCCCUUUAAUGUUAGUUUCAAGCUGUUCUGCAGAUAUUGUGAAUCAGUAGA
Molecule: unclassified non-coding RNA, 234 nt
Filed under: Hevea brasiliensis (rubber tree)
Lineage: Eukaryota; Viridiplantae; Streptophyta; Magnoliopsida; Malpighiales; Euphorbiaceae
Source: RNAcentral